Molecule: ribosomal RNA, 612 nt
Filed under: uncultured fungus
Lineage: Eukaryota; Fungi
Description: SSU rRNA
Rfam family: Eukaryotic small subunit ribosomal RNA
Source: RNAcentral
GGGGAACCAGGACUUUUACCUUGAAAAAAUUAGAGUGUUCMAAGCAGGCAACGUGUUCGCCUGAAUAGAUUAGCAUGGAAUAAUAGAAUAGGACCUUGGUUCUAUUUYGUUGGUUUUUAGGAGCCACGGUAAUGAUUAAUAGGGACAGUUGGGGGCAUUCGUAUUUAAUUGUCAGAGGUGAAAUUCUUGGAUCUAUUAAAGACGAACUACUGCGAAAGCAUCUGCCAAGGAUGUUUUCAUUAAUCAAGAACGAAAGUUAGGGGAUCGAAGACGAUUAGAUACCGUCGUAGUCUUAACCAUAAACUAUGCCGACUAGGGAUCGGGCGGUGCUAUUGUUUGAUGGCCCGCUCGGCACCUUACGAGAAAUCAAAGUUUCUAGGCUCCGGGGGGAGUAUGGUCGCAAGGCUGAAACUUAAAGGAAUUGACGGAAGGGCACCACCAGGAGUGGAGCCUGCGGCUUAAUUUGACUCAACACGGGGAAACUCACCAGGUCCAGACAUAGUGAGGAUUGACAGAUUGAGGGCUCUUUCUUGAUUCUAUGGGUGGUGGUGCAUGGCCGUUCUUAGUUGGUGGAGUGAUUUGUCUGGUUAAUUCCGAUAACGAACGAGACCU